GGUCUCGUAGAGUAGCGGUUAUCUCGUUUCCCUCUCAAGGAAAAGAUCGCGGGUUCGAAUCCCGUCGAGACUAC
This 74-nucleotide transfer RNA is filed under the name Microbacterium phage Pumpernickel. RNAcentral describes it as "tRNA-Glu". It matches the Rfam family "tRNA". From Rfam's summary of the family: Transfer RNA (tRNA) molecules are approximately 80 nucleotides in length. Their secondary structure includes four short double-helical elements and three loops (D, anti-codon, and T loops). The record is from RNAcentral. Lineage: Duplodnaviria; Heunggongvirae; Uroviricota; Caudoviricetes.